GUGGGGAAUCUUGCGCAAUGGGCGAAAGCCUGACGCAGCCAUGCCGCGUGAAUGAUGAAGGUCUUAGGAUUGUAAAAUUCUUUCACCGGGGACGAUAAUGACGGUACCCGGAGAAGAAGCUCCGGCUAACUUCGUGCCAGCAGCCGCGGUAAUACGAAGGGGGCUAGCGUUGCUCGGAAUUACUGGGCGUAAAGGGCGCGUAGGCGGACAGCUUAGUCAGAGGUGAAAGCCCAGGGCUCAACCUUGGAAUUGCCUUUGAUACUGGCUGUCUUGAGUUUGGGAGAGGUGAGUGGAACUCCGAGUGUAGAGGUGAAAUUCGUAGAUAUUCGGAAGAACACCAGUGGCGAAGGCGACUCACUGGCCCAAUACUGACGCUGAGGCGCGAAAGCGUGGGGAGCAAACAGGAUUAGAAACCCGGGUAGUC
This 424-nucleotide ribosomal RNA is filed under the name uncultured bacterium. RNAcentral describes it as "partial 16S ribosomal RNA". It matches the Rfam family "Bacterial small subunit ribosomal RNA", at positions 354 to 795 of the family's 1533-position model. The record is from RNAcentral.